RNAcentral lists this ribosomal RNA (1459 nucleotides) under uncultured organism. RNAcentral describes it as "bacterial SSU rRNA". It matches the Rfam family "Bacterial small subunit ribosomal RNA". The record is from RNAcentral.
CUCAGAACGAACGCUGGCGGCGUGGAUAAGACAUGCAAGUCGAACGAGACCUUCCCAGUAGCAAUACCAGGUCGGUCUAGUGGCGCACGGGUGAGUAACACGUGAGCAACCUGCCCUGAAGUGGGGGAUAGCUCGCCGAAAGGCGAAUUAAUACCGCAUGUGGUGGCAACACCAAAGCAGCAAUGCGCUUCAGGAUGGGCUCGCGGCCUAUCAGCUUGUUGGUGAGGUAACGGCUCACCAAGGCAGUGACGGGUAACUGGUUUGAGAGGAUGAUCAGUCACACUGGAACUGAGACACGGUCCAGACACCUACGGGUGGCAGCAGUCGAGAAUCAUUCGCAAUGGGGGAAACCCUGACGAUGCGACGCCGCGUGGAGGAUGACGGCCCUCGGGUUGUAAACUCCUGUCAUGAGGGAGCAAAUCCCGCUUUCGCGGGACUGAUAGUACCUCAAGAGGAAGGAACGGCAGACUCUGUGCCAGCAGCCGCGGUAAUACAGAGGUUCCAAGCGUUGUUCGGAUUCAUUGGGCGUAAAGGGUGCGUAGGCGGCUUGGUAAGUCAAAUGUGAAAUUGCGGGGCUCAACCCCGUACGGCAUUCGAUACUGCCAUGCUAGAGGACUGGAGAGGAGACUGGAAUUCACGGUGUAGCAGUGAAAUGCGUAGAGAUCGUGAGGAAAACCAGUGGCGAAGGCGAGUCUCUGGACAGCUCCUGACGCUGAGGCACGAAGGCCAGGGUAGUGAACGGGAUUAGAUACCCCGGUAGUCCUGGCAGUAAACGGUGCACGUUUGGUGUGGGAGGAUUCGACCCCUUCCGUGCCGGAGUUAACGCGUUAAACGUGCCGCCUGGGGAGUACGGUCGCAAGAUUAAAACUCAAAGAAAUUGACGGGGGCCCGCACAAGCGGUGGAGUAUGUGGCUUAAUUCGAUGCAACGCGAAGAACCUUACCCAGCCUUGACAUGCAUCUCUAAGUCGGUGAAAGCCGGCGAGUCUUCGGACAAUUUGCACAGGUGCUGCGUGGCUGUCGUCAGCUCGUGUCGUGAGAUGUUGGGUUAAGUCCCGCAACGAGCGCAACCCCUGUGAACUGUUGCUAGCCCUCGGGCGCACUCUGUUCAGACUGCCCUGUCAAACGGGGAGGAAGGUGGGGACGACGUCAAGUCAGUAUGGCCCUUAUGGCUGGGGCUGCACACGUACUACAAUGCCCAGCACAGUGUGAACCGAAACCGCGAGGUGGAGGAAAUCCUCAAAACUGGGCUCAGUUCGGAUUGGAGGCUGCAACUCGCCUCCAUGAAGCCGGAAUCGCUAGUAAUGGCGCAUCAGCUACGGCGCCGUGAAUACGUUCCCGGGCCUUGUACACACCGCCCGUCACAUCAUGGAAGUCGCUUGUACCCGAAGCGUUCGCGCCAACCCCGAUUCGUCGGGGAGGCAGGGCUCGAAGGUAUGGGCGGUAACUGGGAUGAAGUCG